CCGGCAAUUUGGCCUUUUCCCAGCUGUCACUCAAGCUGCCCCUUCUCCGGGUCGUGCUGCUGUAAGAUUAUCCUCUUCCUCCCCCCGCGCGCCCGCCCGGGUUCGCCUGCCUGAGCCGGGGAGGAUGUCGCUGGUAAUAAGGCAACUGCUCUGAAUCAGCGGGCCCAGCCAGCGCGCCUCCUGCCUCCCUCGCCAUCUUGGAAUAAUCAGUGGCAUUAACUGAGGUCGGGGGAACAGGCUCUCGGGUUAGUGGUGGUGGGAGGCUGUGAAAAUAGCGGGCAGCCAUUCGGGGAAACCUGAUCGCUAUUCAUCAAGACGAGGAGGAAGAAGAUGAGGACGAGGAGGAUGGAAUGGGACCCUCCGCUCUGCGCUCUGCGCUCUGGCUGCCACCGGCUUGGCCUGCAUCUCUGAUCCAGGAAAAAGGCGACGGUCACAACAAGUAUUUUCAAAUUGAUCGCGGCGGCGGCGAUCAAGCCUGGAGGGGGAAACUUAGCCCAGUCCGUCCCCCCACAAAAAAGCCCACCCCAUCUCACUCUCUUCCCCCACCCCACCCGCCCAAUUUAGGAUUUCGUGCCCUGCCUGAGCUCGGCUGGUUACUGCCAAUCCCCCAAGGCAAACGGCUCUUGCUCCUUAUUCCAACCAUCUGUUUCUCUUUACUCCCUUGUUGUUGUUUGUACUUGUUGUCUUGUCUAGGGUUUUGAGAAUGCAGAGAACCGGAGUGUUUGGGAGGCUGGGGUGGACAGAGAGAGAAACUUUCUGUAAGGGGGGAAAUGUUCAAGCUCCGAACUUGCAAACUGUUUCUUAAGAGUUUAAGCAAAGUAAUUUGUGGGUGCUAGAAUGAUACUCUUAGGGUCGCUGACCUCAUUUCCUGCUUCUUUCUUCUUCGUCCUCAACUCGGGAGAGGAUACAUGCUGAGAUGCAGAAGCAAGCAAGUCUCAAUUCUAUUUAACUAAGGUGGAGAUGCACUAAGAUCUUCCCUAUCCAGUUGUAUUUCCUGUAAUAAACGUAGCUUUCUUAUUUGCCUAAA
Molecule: long non-coding RNA, 1027 nt
Organism: Podarcis muralis (Common wall lizard)
Lineage: Eukaryota; Metazoa; Chordata; Lepidosauria; Squamata; Lacertidae
Source: RefSeq, a predicted model, not a curated record